GAUGAACGCUGGCGGCGUGCCUAAUACAUGCAAGUCGAGCGAACAGACGAGGAUCUUGCUCCUCUGACGUUAGCGGCGGACGGGUGAGUAACACGUGGAUAACCUACCUAUAAUACUGGUAUAACUUCGGGAAACCGGAGCUAAUACCGGAUAAUAUAUUGAACCUCAUUUUUCAAUAUUUAAUUACGUUUUUUCUUUCUCUUCUAGAUUUUUCCGCGCCGCAUUAGCUAGUUGGUAAGGUAACGGCUUACCAAGGCAACGAUGCGUAUCCGACCUGAGAGGGGGAUAGGCCACACUGGAAGUGAGACACGGACAAGACACCUACGGGAGGAAGCAGUAGGGAAUCUUACGCAAUGGGCGAAAGCAUGACGGAGGAAAGCAGCGUGAGUGAUGAAGGUCUUCGGAUCGUAAAAAUCUGUUAUUAGGGAAGAAAAAAUGUGUAAGUAACUAUGCACGUAUUGACGGUAACUAAUAAGAAAGCAACGGCUAACUACGUG
Molecule: ribosomal RNA, 497 nt
Filed under: uncultured bacterium
Lineage: Bacteria
Description: partial 16S ribosomal RNA
Rfam family: Bacterial small subunit ribosomal RNA
Source: RNAcentral